RNAcentral lists this ribosomal RNA (465 nucleotides) under uncultured bacterium. RNAcentral describes it as "partial 16S ribosomal RNA". It matches the Rfam family "Bacterial small subunit ribosomal RNA", at positions 28 to 507 of the family's 1533-position model. The record is from RNAcentral.
GACGAACGCUGGCGGCGUGCUUAACACAUGCAAGUCGAACGGAAAGGCCCUGCUUGCAGGGUACUCGAGUGGCGAACGGGUGAGUAACACGUGGGUGAUCUGCCCUGCACUUCGGGAUAAGCUUGGGAAACUGGGUCUAAUACCGGAUAGGAGCCAUCUUUAGUGUGGUGGUUGGAAAGUUUUUUCGGUGUAGGAUGAGCUCGCAGCCUAUCAGCUUGUUGGUGGGGUAAUGGCCUACCAAGGCGGCGACGGGUAGCCGGCCUGAGAGGGUGUACGGCCACAUUGGGACUGAGAUACGGCCCAGACUCCUACGGGAGGCAGCAGUGGGGAAUAUUGCACAAUGGGCGCAAGCCUGAUGCAGCGACGCCGCGUGGGGGAUGAAGGCCUUCGGGUUGUAAACUCCUUUCGCUAGGGACGAAGCUUUUUGUGACGGUACCUAGAUAAGAAGCACCGGCUAACUACGUG